CACAAAAUGAUUUUUAAAUUUGCAUUAUAACUUGCAAAUUCUGUAAUAAAAAAGAUUCUAAAACAUUUUUACAGGAAAGGAAAGGAAAUCAUGUUUUCUUUACAAAUACACAAGAGAAUUAUAAGUAACAAAUCUACUGACAAUUGCUAGCAAGGAUCGGUAGUGAAGAACAAUGAUCAUUAUAUAAACAAAUCUUAUGCAUGUAACAACAAGUUUUAUAUAUAGCA
Molecule: long non-coding RNA, 227 nt
Filed under: Mytilus galloprovincialis (Mediterranean mussel)
Lineage: Eukaryota; Metazoa; Mollusca; Bivalvia; Mytilida; Mytilidae
Source: RNAcentral